RNAcentral lists this unclassified non-coding RNA (309 nucleotides) under uncultured fungus. RNAcentral describes it as "partial contains small subunit ribosomal RNA, internal transcribed spacer 1, and 5.8S ribosomal RNA". The stretch from base 1 to 73 matches the Rfam family "Eukaryotic small subunit ribosomal RNA", at positions 1759 to 1831 of the family's 1831-position model. Lineage: Eukaryota; Fungi. The record is from RNAcentral.
GCAAACUUGGUCAUUUAGAGGAAGUAAAAGUCGUAACAAGGUUUCCGUAGGUGAACCUGCGGAAGGAUCAUUCACAAUAAGAGUGUUUAUGGCACUCUUCAAAAAUCCAUACCCACCUUGUGUGCAACGUAAGAAGAAAAGAAACGCGGGUCAGGUCUUGGGGAAACCCAAGGCUACUUGCAUUCUUUUCUUUUCCAACUACACCUUUCUAUAUUCCUAUUGUUCUGAAGCUGUUAGAGAAUAUACUAAUUCUUAAACAUAACUUUCAACAACGGAUCUCUUGGCUCUCGCAUCGAUGAAGAACGCAGC